CUUUACUGAAGUUGUUCCCUGAUGUUAUGAUAAAAAAGAAAGGGCCUGAGUCUAUGUAGUUGUAGUCUGGUGCCUGCUUUCAAAUGUUUAUUCUUAAAAAACCAAACAUACACCUGAUCCAAAAUGUUAUCAGCAGUUUUCUUUUAAAAGAAUACUUAAUUAGUUGUACCUUCUAGUUUAUUGCUGUUCCUGCAUAUGUGUGAUGCAGGACGCUAAUUCUGAUUGUUCUCUAAGAUUACAGUGAUACUGUUGGCCUCGUUAUCAGCUGUAUUGAUUUUGGAAAGAUUCAAAGCUAAAAUUGGUUGAAAGCAUCCUUGUAUGGGACUAAAAGUAACUGAAAAUUAAAGUCCAACGGAGAGCUCUGAAGGUGUUAAAGACCUCCAAGAAUAAUCCCUUUAUAUGUCCUGGGCUUCAUUUCUCAUUUGCACAAUUCUAACUGGGGAUGAUACUGACGAAGUGAAAGAAGAAUCAGGGCAGAUGAUGAUAAUUUACAUUCUCAGCUUCAGAGCAAAGCAUAAAUGUCCUCUUCCAGAAUCCUAUACAGAAAUAUGGAUGAAGAUACUCAGAAGACACUACAUGUAACACUGCCAGCAGAAGAGUCCAGAAAUGGAUCUGUAAGCUACCUCCUUCAACUGACAAUGACUGUGCGACACUUGGACUCCCAGGAAAAGCCAUCUAGCACAGAUGGGGACAAAGAAAGGAAAAUAAAUGCUACAGUCAGGCUUAUAAAUCUCUUCUGAGACAGGACAGCCUCCAGGCAGCCAUGUCACCCAGGAGCCCACUGCUCCCUGCCAAAGAGCUGAGGACGUUCUCAGCCUUGCCUUCACUCUGAGUGUGGAAAAGGUAGGCUUGACCCUCUUUAGCAGGGGGGAUGGAAACUCUUUGGUAGCAUCCCCUGUAUCUGCUGGAGUCAGCCAGGAGAGCUCCACUGACCCAAGUUGCCCCAGGAUGACCGCUUUCUACUGCGAUAGGCUCAGCAGUGUCACAGCAGUGCUCAUGGAAGGGUAAUGUGUGGAAGAACAACUGCUAUUUUUUCCAGUGGAUACCAUGGAAAGACGGAGGCUGAGAAAAUUACUUAUACUAACUAAAUUUGUUCCUCUCUGCUUUUCUUGCUUACUCUGCAAAUAAACAGAGACCAGGUGCCUAAUUUAUUCA
RNAcentral lists this long non-coding RNA (1155 nucleotides) under Anser brachyrhynchus (Pink-footed goose). RNAcentral's name for it is "lncRNA (ENSABRG00000001644.1)". The record is from RNAcentral. Lineage: Eukaryota; Metazoa; Chordata; Aves; Anseriformes; Anatidae.